This is a long non-coding RNA of Corapipo altera (White-ruffed manakin), 318 nucleotides long. RefSeq lists it as uncharacterized. The record is from RefSeq and is a predicted model, not a curated record. The transcript has 3 exons. Lineage: Eukaryota; Metazoa; Chordata; Aves; Passeriformes; Pipridae.
CACUCUCAGAGGAAGUGUAUGGCCAGUCUUUGUGAACAAAGAUUUGGGAAAGGUCUUUACCCUUUGAGCCUGCACAGUGGAUUUUUUAGGUGAGACACAGUGUGCGCUGAGCUGAGCCCACCCUCUAAUCCUAGGGUUCAUCUGCUGGGGCUGAGUGAGCUUGGACAGUGGCAGCGAGGUCCUCAGGACGUAGGUUUGUUUAGAGUGACCUUCUCUUAGAUGGGUGGCCUUACAGGCUGAUGAGCGCCAUCUGCCCGGGGGAAUUCCCUGACCAGGAAUCGAACCCAGGGCGCAGCGAUGAGAGUGCUGCAUCCUAAC